RNAcentral lists this ribosomal RNA (247 nucleotides) under uncultured archaeon. RNAcentral's name for it is "partial 16S ribosomal RNA". It matches the Rfam family "Archaeal small subunit ribosomal RNA", at positions 691 to 939 of the family's 1478-position model. The record is from RNAcentral.
CCGACGGUGAGGGACGAAAGCUGGGGAGCAAACCGGAUUAGAUACCCGGGUAGUCCCAGCUGUAAACGAUGCGCGUUAGGUGUGUCAGUGACCACGUGUCACUGAUGUGCCGAAGGGAAACCGUGAAACGCGCCGCCUGGGGAGUACGGUCGCAAGGCUGAAACUUAAAGGAAUUGGCGGGGAGCACCACAACGGGUGGAGCCUGCGGUUUAAUCGGACUCAACGCCGGAAAUCUCACCGGAUAAGA